ACUUCUGAAGGUUGACCUCGGAUCAGGUAGGAAUACCCGCUGAACUUAAGCAUAUCAAUAA
This 61-nucleotide ribosomal RNA is filed under the name Fusicolla acetilerea. RNAcentral describes it as "partial 28S ribosomal RNA". Lineage: Eukaryota; Fungi; Ascomycota; Sordariomycetes; Hypocreales; Nectriaceae. The record is from RNAcentral.